RNAcentral lists this ribosomal RNA (139 nucleotides) under uncultured eukaryote. RNAcentral describes it as "partial 18S ribosomal RNA". It matches the Rfam family "Eukaryotic small subunit ribosomal RNA", at positions 1299 to 1458 of the family's 1831-position model. The record is from RNAcentral.
UGGUGGGUUGCCUUGUCAGGUUGAUUCCGGUAACGAACGAGACCUCAGCCUGCUAAAUAGUCACGGUUACUUUCUGUAGCCGGCCGACUUCUUAGAGGGACUAUUGUCGUUUAGGCAAUGGAAGUGUGAGGCAAUAACA